ACGCUCUGACAGCCCGUGUAGAUCGGCGAUUUGAAGAUCGCGGAUAGCUCGGCGAAUGUGAAAGGUU
This 67-nucleotide small RNA is filed under the name Sinorhizobium meliloti 2011. RNAcentral's name for it is "putative ncRNA". Lineage: Bacteria; Pseudomonadati; Pseudomonadota; Alphaproteobacteria; Hyphomicrobiales; Rhizobiaceae. The record is from RNAcentral.